CGUAGGUAACCUGCCUGGUAGCGGGGGAUAACUAUUGAAACGAUAGCUAAUACCGCAUAACAUUGACUAUUGCAUGAUAGUCAAUUGAAAGGUGCAAAUGCACCACUACCAGAUGGACCUGCGUUGUAUUAGCUAGUUGGUGGGGUAACGGCUCACCAAGGCGACGAUACAUAGCCGACCUGAGAGGGUGAUCGGCCACACUGGGACUGAGACACGGCCCAG
This 222-nucleotide ribosomal RNA is filed under the name uncultured bacterium. RNAcentral's name for it is "partial 16S ribosomal RNA". It matches the Rfam family "Bacterial small subunit ribosomal RNA", at positions 116 to 334 of the family's 1533-position model. The record is from RNAcentral.